AGUGAACGCUGGCGGUAGGCCUAACACAUGCAAGUCGAACGGCAGCACAGGAGAGCUUGCUCUCUGGGUGGCGAGUGGCGGACGGGUGAGGAAUACAUCGGAAUCUACUUUUUCGUGGGGGAUAACGUAGGGAAACUUACGCUAAUACCGCAUACGACCUACGGGUGAAAGCAGGGGAUCUUCGGACCUUGCGCGAUUGAAUGAGCCGAUGUCGGAUUAGCUAGUUGGCGGGGUAAAGGCCCACCAAGGCGACGAUCCGUAGCUGGUCUGAGAGGAUGAUCAGCCACACUGGAACUGAGACACGGUCCAGACUCCUACGGGAGGCAGCAGUGGGGAAUAUUGGACAAUGGGCGCAAGCCUGAUCCAGCCAUACCGCGUGGGUGAAGAAGGCCUUCGGGUUGUAAAGCCCUUUUGUUGGGAAAGAAAUCCAGCUGGUUAAUACCCGGUUGGGAUGACGGUACCGUAAGAAUAAGCACCGGCUAACUACGUGCCAGCCGCCGCUGUAA
RNAcentral lists this ribosomal RNA (506 nucleotides) under uncultured bacterium. RNAcentral describes it as "partial 16S ribosomal RNA". It matches the Rfam family "Bacterial small subunit ribosomal RNA", at positions 29 to 523 of the family's 1533-position model. The record is from RNAcentral.